This 527-nucleotide ribosomal RNA is filed under the name Enterococcus faecium. RNAcentral's name for it is "bacterial SSU rRNA". It matches the Rfam family "Bacterial small subunit ribosomal RNA", at positions 161 to 683 of the family's 1533-position model. Lineage: Bacteria; Bacillati; Bacillota; Bacilli; Lactobacillales; Enterococcaceae. The record is from RNAcentral.
CGCUAAUACCGCAUACGAUCUACGGAUGAAAGUGGGGGAUCGCAAGACCUCAUGCUCGUGGAGCGGCCGAUAUCUGAUUAGCUAGUUGGUAGGGUAAAAGCCUACCAAGGCAUCGAUCAGUAGCUGGUCUGAGAGGACGACCAGCCACACUGGAACUGAGACACGGUCCAGACUCCUACGGGAGGCAGCAGUGGGGAAUUUUGGACAAUGGGCGAAAGCCUGAUCCAGCAAUGCCGCGUGAGUGAAGAAGGCCUUCGGGUUGUAAAGCUCUUUUGUCAGGGAAGAAACGGUGAGAGCUAAUAUCUCUUGCUAAUGACGGUACCUGAAGAAUAAGCACCGGCUAACUACGUGCCAGCAGCCGCGGUAAUACGUAGGGUGCGAGCGUUAAUCGGAAUUACUGGGCGUAAAGCGUGCGCAGGCGGUUAUGUAAGACAGAUGUGAAAUCCCCGGGCUCAACCUGGGAACUGCAUUUGUGACUGCAUGGCUAGAGUACGGUAGAGGGGGAUGGAAUUCCGCGUGUAGCAGUG